AUGACGACAUGAAUCAUAGUUAAUUCGUCGUAAAAGGGCCUUUACGAAUAAAUAACCUUGAAAGUCAUUUUGUCGUUAAUUAUCGGUCGUAAACCAUUUUUCCUCGCUAAAUCGUCGUAAAUUUAUGUGGAAUAGAUUUCGUUAAAAUGGUUGGUAAUAAAUUUGUCUUAAUAUACAUGCCAUUUAACGACGUCUAUUUCCUCAUAAUACAAACAGAAGAAAUCGUCGUAAAGGACACAUAAACUUUACGACAAAAUUACGUCUACUUCCACGUAAAUCUUUUAAUUUACGUCGAUAUAACGAGUCUUUCCUCAUUAAAUAGUCAUUAAGCUUAGCUACACAAAUGUACUUCGAUUCUUAUUUUUUCAAUUUUAAAAAUUGAAAUCAUUAUAUUUUACUAAAAUUAUAAAAAACUAUAAAAAAUUAAAUUAUAGAAAAAUCUAAAAAUAUUUAAGUUUCAAAUUUAUAAUACAAUAGAAAAAAGAAAAAAAAAUAGCUAGGGUUCGGGAAUUCCGGGAAAAAGUCCUGACUCCUUCUCUCGGGUUCCUCCUCCUCUGAGGAGCGCUGUGGCUGUGGAUUUCCAAGUCCCGCCCGUCUCGCCUGCAACAUUCUGUCCAAUUACGGAUUUCCAUCCGCUAGAACGUCUAGAAAACUUUCGUAUGAACCCAACUGAGCUUGUGUCGCGCUCAAAUCAGAACUCGUCGCGCUCAACUCAAAACGCAGCUGAGCAGUCUCAUCAUCCUGUAUAUGACCAUAAGACGAUCGCCCUCGGGACAUCGUUAACGGAACCGAUUCCCAACAUACGUCCAUUUUUCUUAGGGACAACCCUAAAAAAAAAAGAUUGAUUUUAGUGAUAAAAUGUUAGAUUAAUUGAAGUCGUUAUAAAAAAAAAUUGUACCACCUCGUAAAUCUUAUCCACUUCAGGUGUGGAUAAAGUGACGGGUAUUCCAUCGGGGGACUGUUGGGUCUGGCACACUUCAAUACGAGCAACCACGUCGUUGUAGA
Molecule: long non-coding RNA, 1005 nt
Filed under: Brassica rapa (field mustard)
Lineage: Eukaryota; Viridiplantae; Streptophyta; Magnoliopsida; Brassicales; Brassicaceae
Description: long non-coding RNA (BRAP_LNC001205)
Source: RNAcentral